CAUGAAUUCAGAUGAUUUGACCUGGAAUAGUUGUUUUUUAAGUUGACCCUCCACCCUUAUAUAGCCGAAUAAGGGCUAAAUUGCUUUCCAACUUAAAUUCAAAGGCAUAUUGGUUGACCGUGAAGCAUUAAUGUGCUACAUGAAGUCAGAAUUCAACGCCUGGGUCUCCGUGAUCCAGUAACGCAACAAUAGCUUGUGCGUAAAGCAUUAACAUUCAAACAGAGCCCCAUUUCGUAGACAUGGAAUGGCGGACAUUUUUACAGUUUGGACAGUGCAGCAGAUGCUUAGCUGAGCCAGCCUUCAUAUUUAGUACAAUCAUGAAUAUAACAAGCUUUAUCACUUCAUAUUAUUCAUUGAAAUACACUUAAAAUACAUAAAUGCAUGUGUUUUUUUCAUUUUAUAUCUAUUUCAAUUGGGUAUUUUGACUUUUUCAGGUAGAGAAAUGUCUGCGACUAAGCCGAGGGCCACUGCAUAAGAGUAAUUGAUUGCAAAACAGGGUGGAGACUACAUGAGAUUUUGACAGAUGGCGGGAAACCCUCAUCAACUGGAGAUCAGCCGGUAGAGAAAUGUCUGCGACUAAGCCGAGGGCCACUGCAUAAGAGUAAUUGAUUGCAAAACAGGGUGGAGACUACAUGAGAUUUUGACAGAUGGCGGGAAACCCUCAUCAACUGGAGAUCAGCCGGUAGAGAAAUGUCUGCGACUAAGCCGAGGGCCACUGCAUAAGAGUAAUUGAUUGCAAAACAGGGUGGAGACUACAUGAGAUUUUGACAGAUGGCGGGAAACCCUCAUCAACUGGAGAUCAGCCGGUAAAAAGGUGGCCUUAAAACAGUGACCGUUGAUUCGCGUCGAG
Dreissena polymorpha is the source of this 850-nucleotide long non-coding RNA. RefSeq lists it as uncharacterized. The record is from RefSeq and is a predicted model, not a curated record. NCBI's taxonomy places the organism in Eukaryota, Metazoa, Mollusca, Bivalvia, Myida, Dreissenidae. The transcript has 6 exons.